ACGCUCGACACCUACGGGAGGCCGCAGUGGGGAAUAUUGCACAAUGGGGGAAACCCUGAUGCAGCGACGCCGCGUGAGCGAAGAAGUAUUUCGGUAUGUAAAGCUCUAUCAGCAGGGAAGAAACUGACGGUACCUGACUAAGAAGCACCGGCUAAAUACGUGCCAGCAGCCGCGGUAAUCUGAGCGGGCUGGCAAGGC
This 198-nucleotide ribosomal RNA is filed under the name uncultured bacterium. Its description in RNAcentral is "partial 16S ribosomal RNA". It matches the Rfam family "Bacterial small subunit ribosomal RNA", at positions 328 to 539 of the family's 1533-position model. The record is from RNAcentral.